GGGGGAUAAGCUUCGUCGUCGAGAGGGAAACAGCCCAGAUCAGCAGCUAAGGUGCCUAAAUUGUGCUCAGUGGAAAGGAGGUGAGGUUUCAUAGACAGUGAGGAUGUUGGCUUAGAAGCAGCCACCAUUUAAAAAAUGCGUAAUAGCUUACUCAUCGAGAGACCUUGCGCCGAAAAUACUUGGCGAUAAGCACAAUACCGAAGCUCUGGGUGUCCUAGUUUACUAGGGCGCGGUAGAGGAGCAUUCUCUGUGCAGUGAAGGGUGAUGGCGACUGACCCUGGAGCGCAGAGAAGUGAGAAUGCAGACAUGAGUAACGAUAAGAGCGGUGAAAUCCCGCUCCGCCGUAAAUCCAAGGUUUCCCGGGCAACGUUUUUCGUCCCGGGGUUAGUCGGGACCUAACCCGAGGCCGAUGGGCGUAGGGGAUGGUAAGCAGGUUAAUAUUCCUGCACCCAGUAAGGAGGACGCAUAAUGAAAAGCUACUAGGUUAUUGAAUUCCGAGGCGAGGCUUAGGCCGGACCGUAUAGCUGGACAGAGUGCCAAGAAAAGCCCUUACAUUAAUGGCCCGUACCGUAAACCGACACAGGUGGAUGGGUAGAAUAUACCAAGGCGCAAGAGUGAAACCUGGUCAAGGAACUCGGCAAAAUAGCCCCGUAACUUCGGAAGAAGGGGUGCCCCCUCUGGGGGGCCGCAGUGAAAUGGCCCAACCGACUGUUUAGCAAAAACACAGCAUUGUGCUAAGGCGUAAGCCGACGUAUACGAUGUGACACGUGACCAAUGCCAAAAGAUUACGGUAAGAUGUUAGCACUUUAGUGCGAAGCUUCGAGCCCAAGUCCUGGUGAAUGUCGGCCGUAACUAUAACGGUCCUAAGGUAGCGAAAUUCCUUGUCGGGUAAGUUCCGACCUGCACGAAUCGUGCAACGAGUUGGGCGCUGUCUCGACCAGGUGCUCAGUGAAAUUGUAGUUCCGGUGAAGAUGCCGGACACCCGCAGAAGGACGGAAAGACCCUAUAGACCUUAACUGUAAGCUGUUAUUGGUUGUUCGAUCUUAAUGCUCAGCAUAAGUGGGAGACAUUGAAGGGUGCGUUUAGGCGCAUCUGGAGUCAUCAGUGAGAUACCACCCUUUAAUAUUGGAUAAUCUAACCCCGAGCCGUCAUCCGGCCGUGGGGACAAUGGCAGCCGGUCAGUUUUACUGGGGCGGUAUCCUCCUAAAGAGUAACGGAGGAGCGCGAAGGUGGGCUCAGCACAGUUGGCAACUGUGUGUUGAGUGUAAAGGCACAAGCCCGCCUAACUGUGAGACCUACAAGUCGAGCAGAUACGAAAGUAGGCCUUAGUGAUCCGGCGGUAGAAUGUGGAAUUGCCGUCGCUCAACGGAUAAAAGGUACCUUAGGGAUAACAGGCUUAUCACGCCCAAGAGUUCAUAUCGACGGCGUGGUUUGGCACCUCGAUGUCGGCUCGUCGCAUCCUGGGGCUGGAGAAGGUCCCAAGGGUCCGGCUGUUCGCCGGUUAAAGCGGCACGCGAGCUGGGUUCAGAACGUCGCGAGACAGUUCGGUCCUCUAUCCUCUGUGGGCGUAGGAAAAUUGAAGGGUUCAGACCUUAGUACGAGAGGACCGGGUUUGACGCACCUCUGGUGUUCCAGUUGUUCUGUCAAGGGCACUGCUGGGUAGCUAAGUGCGGAACGGAUAAGCGCUGAAAGCAUCUAAGCGCCAAGCCAUUCCUGAGAUAAAUUUUCCCUGAAGGAUCGUGGAAGACGACCACGUUGAUAGGCUGGGGGUAGAAGUGCAGCAAUGUAUGUAGCUCACCAGUACUAAUCAUCCGUUCGACUUAAUUCC
This 1828-nucleotide ribosomal RNA is filed under the name bacterium. Its description in RNAcentral is "partial 23S ribosomal RNA". It matches the Rfam family "Bacterial large subunit ribosomal RNA", at positions 993 to 2925 of the family's 2925-position model. The record is from RNAcentral.